RNAcentral lists this ribosomal RNA (484 nucleotides) under uncultured bacterium. Its description in RNAcentral is "partial 16S ribosomal RNA". It matches the Rfam family "Bacterial small subunit ribosomal RNA", at positions 28 to 523 of the family's 1533-position model. The record is from RNAcentral.
GAUGAACGCUGGCGGCGUGCUUAACACAUUCAAGUCGAACGGUGAAGCAGGAGCUUGCUCUUGUGGAUCAGUGGCGAACGGGUGAGUAACACGUGAGCAACCUGCCCCUGACUCUGGGAUAAGCGCUGGAAACGGCGUCUAAUACUGGAUAUGUGAUGUGACCGCAUGGUCUGCAUCUGGAAAGAAUUUCGGUUGGGGAUGGGCUCGCGGCCUAUCAGCUUGUUGGUGAGGUAAUGGCUCACCAAGGCGUCGACGGGUAGCCGGCCUGAGAGGGUGCCCGGCCACACUGGGAAUGGGACCCGGCGCAGACUCCUCCGGGAGGCAGGAGUGGGUGAUAUUGCAAAAUGGGCGGAGGCCUGAUGCAGCAACGCCGCGUGAGGGAUGACGGCCUUCGGGUUGUAAACCUCUUUUCGCCGGGAAGAAGCGAAAGUGACGGUACCUGCAGAAAAAGCACCGGCUAACUACGUGCCAGCCGCCGCCGUAA